This 423-nucleotide ribosomal RNA is filed under the name uncultured bacterium. Its description in RNAcentral is "bacterial SSU rRNA". It matches the Rfam family "Bacterial small subunit ribosomal RNA", at positions 355 to 775 of the family's 1533-position model. The record is from RNAcentral.
UAAGGAAUAUUGGACAAUGGUGGAAACACUGAUCCAGCCAUGCCGCGUGCAGGAUGAAUGCCCUAUGGGUUGUAAACUGCUUUUAUACGGGAAAAAACCCCACUACGUGUAGUGGGCUGAUGGUACCGUAAGAAUAAGGAUCGGCUAACUUCGUGCCAGCAGCCGCGGUAAUACGAAGGAUUCGAGCGUUAUCCGGAUUUAUUGGGUUUAAAGGGUGCGUAGGUGGACUAAUAAGUCAGUGGUGAAAGCCCGCAGCUUAACUGCGGAACUGCCAUUGAUACUGUUAGUCUUGAGUACAGUUGAGGUGGGCGGAAUGUGUCAUGUAGCGGUGAAAUGCUUAGAUAUGACACAGAACACCGAUUGCGAAGGCAGCUCACUAAGCUGUAACUGACACUGAGGCACGAAAGUGUGGGUAGCAAACAG